GACGAACGCUGGCGGCGUGCUUAACACAUGCAAGUCGAACGGAAAGGCCCUGCUUUUGUGGGGUGCUCGAGUGGCGCACGGGUGAGUAACACGGGAGUAACCUGGCCUUGACUUUGGGAUAACUUCAGGAAACUGGGGCUAAUACCGGAUAGCAGCUCCUGCUGCAUGGGGGGGGUUGGAAAGUUUCGGCGGUUGGGGAUGGACUCGGGGCUAAUCAGCUUGUGGGUGGGGUAGUGGCUUACCAAGGCUUUGACGGGUAGCCGGCCUGAGAGGGUGACCGGCCACAUUGGGACUGAGAUACGGCCCAGACUCCUACGGGAGGCAGCAGUGGGGAAUAUUGCACAAUGGGCGGAAGCCUGAUGCAGCAACGCCGCGUGCGGGAUGACGGCCUUCGGGUUGUAAACCGCUUUCGCCUGUGACGAAGCGUGAGUGACGGUAAUGGGUAAAGAAGCACCGGCUAACUACGUG
This 468-nucleotide ribosomal RNA is filed under the name uncultured bacterium. Its description in RNAcentral is "partial 16S ribosomal RNA". It matches the Rfam family "Bacterial small subunit ribosomal RNA", at positions 28 to 507 of the family's 1533-position model. The record is from RNAcentral.